AUACGGAGGAUGCGAGCGUUAUCCGGAUUUAUUGGGUUUAAAGGGUGCGUAGGCUGUUUGGUAAGUCAGGGGUGAAAUGCCGUCGCUCAACGACGGAGCUGCCCUUGAUACUGCCGAGCUGGAGUACGGAUGCCGUUGGAGGAAUGAGUGGUGUAGCGGUGAAAUGCAUAGAUAUCACUCAGAACACCGAUUGCGAAGGCGUCGGACGAAUCCGUCAGUGCCGCUGAGGCACGAAAGGGUGGGGAGAGAACAGGAUAAGAUACCCUGGUAUUCCACGCCGUAAACGAUGAUGACUAACCGCCUGCGAUAUAGUGUAGGUGGCCAAGCGAAAGCGAUAAGUCAUCCACCUGGGGAGUACGACCGCAAGGCUGAAACUCAAAUGAAUUGACGGGG
RNAcentral lists this ribosomal RNA (393 nucleotides) under uncultured bacterium. RNAcentral describes it as "partial 16S ribosomal RNA". It matches the Rfam family "Bacterial small subunit ribosomal RNA", at positions 523 to 918 of the family's 1533-position model. The record is from RNAcentral.